Long non-coding RNA from Neltuma alba, 274 nucleotides. RefSeq lists it as uncharacterized. Lineage: Eukaryota; Viridiplantae; Streptophyta; Magnoliopsida; Fabales; Fabaceae. The transcript is spliced from 3 exons. The record is from RefSeq and is a predicted model, not a curated record.
GUUGCUGUGACCAACAUGGCAUUGUGAUUCUUUUGGGCUUGCUUCAGUUCUGAACUUUUCCAGCUUUGCUGUGCCAUUUUUGUCGCUUGCUUUGUUCAAUUUUUGGUGGUUAAAAGGGGAUUGAGGAGAGUUCCUAUUACGGACAUGAUUAAAUUUAAGUAUUAUUGUGGGAACUUGUCAAAUAGCACCGCAGACCCUGUCCCUCCAGCUGAGCAGUGAAGAGCCUCAGUGAAGAUCCAGAACCUCUAAAUCUAUUUUGAAUAGUUGUUAACUA